GCCUGGUUAGCCCACUUGUUAGAGCAUCAGACUUUUAAUCUGAGGGCCAUGGGUUCAAGUCCCAUAUCGCGCU
RNAcentral lists this transfer RNA (73 nucleotides) under Paramuricea clavata. It matches the Rfam family "tRNA". Rfam says of the family: Transfer RNA (tRNA) molecules are approximately 80 nucleotides in length. Their secondary structure includes four short double-helical elements and three loops (D, anti-codon, and T loops). The record is from Rfam by way of RNAcentral. Lineage: Eukaryota; Metazoa; Cnidaria; Anthozoa; Malacalcyonacea; Plexauridae.